Molecule: transfer RNA, 70 nt
Filed under: Loxodonta africana (African savanna elephant)
Lineage: Eukaryota; Metazoa; Chordata; Mammalia; Proboscidea; Elephantidae
Rfam family: tRNA
About the family: Transfer RNA (tRNA) molecules are approximately 80 nucleotides in length. Their secondary structure includes four short double-helical elements and three loops (D, anti-codon, and T loops).
Source: Rfam by way of RNAcentral
CUGGUGGUGGUUCAGUGGUAGAAUUCUUGCCUUCCAUGCAGGAGACCCGGGUUCAGUUCCAGCCAAUAUA